GACGAACGCUGGCGGCGUGCUUAACACAUGCAAGUCGAACGGACAGACAGAGAGCUUGCUCUCUUGAAGUUAGUGGCGAACGGGUGAGUAACGCGUAAUCAACCUGCCCUUCAGAGGGGGAUAACAACGGGAAACCGUUGCUAAUACCGCGUACGAUUCAUGAACGGCAUCGUUUAUGAAUGAAAGGUGGCCUCUAUGUAUAAGCUAUCGCUGAAGGAGGGGAUUGCGUCUGAUUCGCUAGUUGGAGGGGUAGCGGCCCACCAAGGCAAUGAUCAGUAGCCGGUCUGAGAGGAUGAACGGCCACAUUGGGACUGAGACACGGCCCAAACUCCUACGGGAGGCAGCAGUGGGGAAUCUUCCGCAAUGGACGAAAGUCUGACGGAGCAACGCCGCGUGAGUGAUGAAGGUCUUCGGAUUGUAAAGCUCUGUUAAUCGGGACGAAAGAGUUCUGCGUGAAUAAUGCAGAAAAGUGACGGUACCGGAAUAGAAAGCCACGGCUAACUACAUGCCAGCAGCCGCCGUAA
Molecule: ribosomal RNA, 524 nt
Filed under: uncultured bacterium
Lineage: Bacteria
Description: partial 16S ribosomal RNA
Rfam family: Bacterial small subunit ribosomal RNA
Source: RNAcentral